GUGUUUGGGGGGUCUAGGGGUAGGAUUCUCGCUUUGGGUGCGAGAGGUCCCGGGUUCAGAUCCCGGACGAGCCCC
This 75-nucleotide transfer RNA is filed under the name Perca flavescens (yellow perch). RNAcentral describes it as "tRNA-Pro". The stretch from base 11 to 66 matches the Rfam family "tRNA", at positions 9 to 63 of the family's 71-position model. From Rfam's summary of the family: Transfer RNA (tRNA) molecules are approximately 80 nucleotides in length. Their secondary structure includes four short double-helical elements and three loops (D, anti-codon, and T loops). Lineage: Eukaryota; Metazoa; Chordata; Actinopteri; Perciformes; Percidae. The record is from RNAcentral.